GUGAAUCAUCGAAUCUUUGAACGCACAUUGCACCCUCUGGUAUUCCAGGGGGUAUGCCUGUUCGAGCGUCAUUUCAACCCUCAAGCUCAGCUUGGUAUUGGGUGUCACCUGGCAACGGUGUACCUUAAAAUCAGUGGCGGUGCCAUCUGGCUUCAAGUGUAGUAAUUCUCUCGCUUUGGAGGUUUUCAGAUGUGUGUUUGCCAUCAACCCCCAAGUUUUCAAAGGUUGACCUCGGAUCAGGUAGGGAUACCCGCUGAACUUAAGCAUAUCAAUAAGCGGAGGA
Molecule: unclassified non-coding RNA, 283 nt
Filed under: Helotiales sp.
Lineage: Eukaryota; Fungi; Ascomycota; Leotiomycetes; Helotiales
Description: partial contains 5.8S ribosomal RNA, internal transcribed spacer 2, and large subunit ribosomal RNA
Rfam family: 5.8S ribosomal RNA (bases 1-71)
Source: RNAcentral